GUACGUUGAAGAUGGUUAGGAAAAUCUGUUGUGAAUUAAGCUUCUUCUCUUUGAUAUGCAUUUCCAAUCGCUAACCCAAUGCUGCUUUAAUUUUGUUUGUAGGAAGCUGAACUGACAUGAAGCAAAAGAAGUCUGUUGUUUUGGACUGCGUUCCACACUUGGCUGUCCCAGAGGUUGAUCUCACCACCAUUCAGAGAUCCAAGAGGAAGCCACCUGUUAGACUAAAGAAAACUCAGGUCUAAACCGUACUCUGCACGAGCAAAAGAAAAUGCACAGAAAGAAACAGUUCUCAGAAUCAGUUUGUUUCGUGUUGCUUCAGUUCAGAGU
Molecule: long non-coding RNA, 327 nt
Filed under: Callithrix jacchus (white-tufted-ear marmoset)
Lineage: Eukaryota; Metazoa; Chordata; Mammalia; Primates; Cebidae
Description: lncRNA (ENSCJAG00000072990.1)
Source: RNAcentral